Molecule: ribosomal RNA, 530 nt
Filed under: Mytilus edulis (blue mussel)
Lineage: Eukaryota; Metazoa; Mollusca; Bivalvia; Mytilida; Mytilidae
Description: partial 12S ribosomal RNA
Rfam family: Microsporidia small subunit ribosomal RNA
Source: RNAcentral
AAAUAAAUAGGCGGUGUCUGAGAUAGAAAACAGGGGAUCCUGGGUGUUAAAGGAUAACCCACCUACAUUUGAGCCUUGUCUUAUUAGUGCGUGUGUAUGGUUGUUUACUCUAAUAUGGUGAGUGUCCGGGUAAAAAUUUUGGUUAUUGCUAAAGUUAGGGUUUAUUUUAUUGGUUAAGUUUGGUAAAAUAAGUUAGCUUUAGCUAGAUGCAGCUAGUAGAAGGGGUUUAUUCCCCUUUGUAGCACAGCUUCAAAAAUAAUUCAGAUUGACAUGCAGCUUAUGAUAAGGUUAAUCUGGGAUACAGUUGCAGCUUAAGCAAUAGUUUUAAAUUUAAACUAUUAAGUAGUAUAAAUAAUCUAACGAAUAAGGUAAGAAAACUUGACUUUGAAGAAGGACUUGUAAGUAAGGGUUGAAAAUAAAACCGCCCUGAAUACAAUCAGAUGAGUACUAAUCGCCCGUCGCUCGCGGGGAAACCUGUGAAAAGUCGUAACAAGGUAGCAGUAACGGAAGUUGUUGCUAGGCUAUAAUAU